Molecule: ribosomal RNA, 404 nt
Filed under: Actinomycetes bacterium
Lineage: Bacteria; Bacillati; Actinomycetota; Actinomycetes
Description: Actinobacteria bacterium partial 16S ribosomal RNA
Rfam family: Bacterial small subunit ribosomal RNA
Source: RNAcentral
UGGGGAAUAUUGGACAAUGGGCGCAAGCCUGAUCCAGCCAUGCCGCGUGAGUGAUGAAGGCCCUAGGGUUGUAAAGCUCUUUCACCGGUGAAGAUAAUGACGGUAACCGGAGAAGAAGCCCCGGCUAACUUCGCGCCAGCAGCCGCGGUAAUACGAAGGGGGCUAGCGUUGUUCGGAUUUACUGGGCGUAAAGCGCACGUAGGCGGACUUUUAAGUCAGGGGUGAAAUCCCGGGGCUCAACCCCGGAACUGCCUUUGAUACUGGAAGUCUUGAGUAUGGUAGAGGUGAGUGGAAUUCCGAGUGUAGAGGUGAAAUUCGUAGAUAUUCGGAGGAACACCAGUGGCGAAGGCGGCUCACUGGGCCAAUACUGACGCUGAGGUGCGAAAGCGUGGGGAGCAAACAGU